AGCUACAUAUUAAAGAGAUUUAUUUAUAUAAAUAGGCUUGCUAGCUGAUUGUAUAUAUAUGCUGGCCGUAUUUCAUAGCAAGCUCGCUUUUAAUAGGCAACCAGUAAUAUGAGCAAUUAUUUACCUACAAGCCUAUAAUUAUAUUAACUCUAAGAGAAAUCUAAUAAUAAACGGAGUGAAUUGAAAUAUCUUAUUAACUUCAGGAAAAGAAAUCAAAAGAGAUUCUAUGAUUAGCGUGAGCUAAAAUAGAGUAGCCUAGAAAGUCAAAUGGUGGAUAAACUGUUUAAAUUUAAUGGGGAACCUUCCUCAAAGGCUAAAUAUAAUAUGUAAGCGAUAGUGGAAAGUACCGUGAGGGAACCAAAACAAAAACAGUGAUUUUAUAAGCAGUUCGGAAAAAUAAAAAAGUUAGAACGUACCUUUUGCAUAAUGGGUCACCAAGUUAACAUUAGAUGCGAGAUUCUACGUAGUUAAACCGAGCGUUAAAAUAACGGUAAGUGUCUAAAGUUAGACCCGAAGCCUGGUGAUUUUACCAUAAUCAGGAUUAUAAAAGUCCGAACGGAAUAUUGUAGCAUAAAUAUCCGAAGAAUUAUGGUAGGUGUAGUGAAAGACAAUACUGACCAGGAUAGCUGGUUUUCUGCGAAACCUAUAACAGUAGGCAAUUUAAGUAUAAUAUCUUAGCAGGUACAGAAUUUAAUCUCAGACAAGACAUAAGGCUUAACUUGUUAACAAGUUAAGCCCAUGUUUUAUUUUGUACAAAUUGGGGGAUCAUGAAGAUUUUAUCAGUGAGUAUGUAGACUCGGAAUGGCAAAGAUAUAUCUUAAAUCAUCAGACAUAGAAUGAUAAGGUUGUAUGUCAAAAGGGAAACAGCCCAGAACAAGAGUUAAGGUUCCUAAAUUAUUAGUUGAGUGAAAUUAAGAAGGUUUUUAUUAAAGUCGACAAGGAGAUAGGCUUAGAAGCAGCCAUAAUUUUAUGACCUCGUAACAGAGCGCUUGUUAAGUUUUAAAAGCAUCGAAAAUUUAUCGGAUCUAAACAAUAUACCGAAACCUUGUCCAUAUUAUUUUAUAAUUAAUAGUCUCAGCAAGCUCGGACUAUACAAUUAUAAUUAAAUGGGGUAGCAGAACGUUGAGCUAAAUUAAGAUUUUUAUUUUUUAAAUGAAAUUAUAAUAAUUUAACUCAAGUGAUAAUGGUGACAUGAGUAACUAAAAGAAAAUUUUCCGCCUAAAGCUUAUGGAUGUAAUUAAGUAACGGCCUCUAAGUUUAUGGAAUCAAAAGAUUAAAACGAUGAGACAAUCUUUCAUACUAAGGACGACAUUUUAAGUGCAAAAUGUACUGGAAAAAUAGUAAUAAGUUUAAGCUAUGGCUAGAACUAGCUAUAGCUGUAAAUGGAAAGUAACCGUACCUAGAAUCUGAAACAAGUAAGCUAGUAGAGAAUACGAAGGCGUAAAUGAGCUAACAAUCAUAAAGGAACUCGGCAAAUUGACUACCGUAACUUCGGGAUAAGGAGAGCUCAUUAUUCUUGAUUAAUAUCAGGUAAAGAGGAAGAAGCAUGAAAUAGUGUUGUACGACUGUUUAAUUAAAACACAGCACUUUGCUGAAAGAUUAAAAAUCUAAGUAUAGAGUGUGAUGUCUGCCCGGUGCCGGCUGGUUAACAGAUAUAAUUAAAUAUACUAAUAUUUGAUGUAGACGGAAACCCCGGUUAAAGGCGGCCUUAACGUGAGGGUCCUAAGGUAGCGAAAUGCCUUGGCCGUUAAAUGCGGUCUUGCAUGAAUGAUGUAACGAUACAACAGCUGUCUCUAUGAUUGACUCAGUGAAAUUGGAAUAGCUGUGCAGAUACAGUUUACCUCUAGUUAGACGAGAAGACCCUAUGCAGCUUUACUGUCACUAAUUAUAGAGUAUGAUAAACAAUUUUCAGUUUAUAAGGUAAUUGACGGCCGGCUUGCUUAGCAAGCUGGCUCUAUGACAAUGAGAAUCCUUUAUUUUUUUUUCAUAUGAAUGAAUUGGUUUAGGACGAGCUUAAGCUCGUAGUAAAUCAACCUAAUUCAGCUUAUUUUCCUUUCUGCUGUAAGCGCAUAAUGAUAGAUUAUACUUAAAUUUGGAUUUAUGCCUGCAGAAAUAGAUAAGUACCCUUGGUUAAGGAACUAUCGCUAGGGGACAGUUUAUGUGGGGCACAGACCCUGUAAAGAGUAAACAGGAGUGUCUAAUAAUUUAUAAUUAUUUUGUUUGCGAUUUAAGGUAGUAGAACUAUUUUUAAUCAUAUAAAAUUAUUUAUAUGUACAUUCGUUGUAUAUAUAUUUAAAAAAAGGUAGGAUUUUCACUAUAUAGAAAUUAGAGAUAAUAAAAAUAUUAAGUAGUAGCUGCUGAGUCCUAAUCCCGCCGAAGGGGGGAUAUGGACUACUAUGUAUUUCAUAGCAAGCUCGCACUAAUAUUUUUUAACUAUUAAGACUGGCUAUCUAGCUAUGCUCUAAUAGUUAUGUUUUAAUUAUCUAAAAAGCUCAACGGCUAAAUCUUGCCUUACUGUUUGAUUAUCAACAAAUCUUACAGUUGCGUAAGCAGGGCAUAGGAUCACAAGAUGCAACAAGGAAAGAUCUUGGAUUAUUGGAAAAGCUACGCUAGGGAUAACAGGCUAAUUUGCGCAAGAGUGUACAAAAUGAGUGCGCGGUUUGGCACCUCGAUGUCGGCUUAACUUAUCCUCAUGGAUGCAGGAACUAUGUAGGGUGCGACUGUUCGUCGAUUAAAAAGUUACAUGAGCUGGGUUAAAUACGUCGUGAGACAGUAUGGUUUCUAUCUUCUAGGGGGAAUUAGAAUAUAAUAAGAACUAACUUUUGUACGAAAGGAACAAGAAGAAUUUAAUUUGUAAAAGGGUUAAAUAAUAGUUACUAACCUAUGGUUUACCUGUUGUCUAUGUGCCCAAAUAUUAAAAUAUAGGAUAAAAAUUCUAUAUAUCUGUAUAGCUUUAGCUAUACAUAGGGAUGUUUCUUUCACUAAGAUAAAUAUAUAGCAUAGGCACGGCAGGAAAGCUAAGUUGGUUAAGGAUAAGUGCUGAAAGCAUAUAGGCACGAAGCUUAUCUUAAGAUAUUUCUUAAAUAUACGUAAAAUAUUAUUACGAAGGAUUAAUAUAGGCUUUAUCCGUACGAAUCUGGAGAUUUUUAAGAAUAAAGUACUAAUUUUAUAAAUAACUAUUUAU
This 3184-nucleotide ribosomal RNA is filed under the name Fusarium cortaderiae. Its description in RNAcentral is "16S ribosomal RNA". It matches the Rfam family "Bacterial large subunit ribosomal RNA". The record is from RNAcentral. Lineage: Eukaryota; Fungi; Ascomycota; Sordariomycetes; Hypocreales; Nectriaceae.